This 263-nucleotide ribosomal RNA is filed under the name uncultured bacterium. RNAcentral describes it as "partial 16S ribosomal RNA". It matches the Rfam family "Bacterial small subunit ribosomal RNA", at positions 793 to 1055 of the family's 1533-position model. The record is from RNAcentral.
GUCCACGCUGUAAACGAUGAGUGCUGGACGUUGGUGGGCUUGCCUGCCGGUGUCGCAGCUAACGCGUUAAGCACUCCGCCUGGGGAGUACGGCCGCAAGGUUGAAACUCAAAGGAAUUGACGGGGGCCCCGCACAAGCGGUGGAGCAUGUGGUUUAAUUCGACGCAACGCGCAGAACCUUACCAGCCCUUGACAUGCCGCGCGAUCCACGGAGACGUGGAGUUCCUUUCGGGGACGCGGACACAGGUGCUGCAUGGCUGUCGU